GAAAGACUAGCUCAACGGUGGAGCAAUUGGCUGUUAACCAAUAGGCUUGGGGUUCGAGUCCCCAGUCUUUCGCCA
RNAcentral lists this transfer RNA (75 nucleotides) under Caudoviricetes sp. Its description in RNAcentral is "tRNA-Asn". It matches the Rfam family "tRNA". Rfam says of the family: Transfer RNA (tRNA) molecules are approximately 80 nucleotides in length. Lineage: Duplodnaviria; Heunggongvirae; Uroviricota; Caudoviricetes. The record is from RNAcentral.